CCCUUAGAUGUCCUGGGCCGCACGCGUGCUACACUGACACUUACACCGAGUUUUUCCAAUGCCGAAAGGCCAUUGGUAAUCAGCAAUAAGUGUCGUGAUGGGGAUAGAUCUUUGGAAUUAUUGAUCUUGAACGAGGAAUGCCUAGUAAUCGUAGGUCAUCAGCCUGCGAUGAUACGUCCCUGCCCUUUGUACACACCGCCCGUCGCCCCUACCGAUUUCGAGUGGUUCGGUGAACCUUUCGGACCGGCAAUGCCUCGUGUUGCGCCGGAAAGUCAAGUAAACCAUNUNACUUAUNGGAAGGAGAANUCGUANCA
This 314-nucleotide ribosomal RNA is filed under the name uncultured eukaryote. Its description in RNAcentral is "partial 18S ribosomal RNA". It matches the Rfam family "Eukaryotic small subunit ribosomal RNA", at positions 1470 to 1796 of the family's 1831-position model. The record is from RNAcentral.